UACGUAGGGUGCAAGCGUUAAUCGGAAUUACUGGGCGUAAAGCGUGCGCAGGCGGCUUUGCAAGACAGAUGUGAAAUCCCCGGGCUCAACCUGGGAACUGCAUUUGUGACUGCAAGGCUAGAGUACGGUAGAGGGGGAUGAAAUUCCGCGUGUAGCAGUGAAAUGCGUAGAUAUGCGGAGGAACACCGAUGGCGAAGGCAAUCCCCUGGACCUGUACUGACGCUCAUGCACGAAAGCGUGGGGAGCAAACAGG
Molecule: ribosomal RNA, 253 nt
Filed under: uncultured bacterium
Lineage: Bacteria
Description: partial 16S ribosomal RNA
Rfam family: Bacterial small subunit ribosomal RNA
Source: RNAcentral